Caretta caretta (loggerhead turtle) is the source of this 2079-nucleotide non-coding RNA. The record is from RefSeq and is a predicted model, not a curated record. Lineage: Eukaryota; Metazoa; Chordata; Testudines; Cheloniidae.
AAAGCUGCUGAGUCGUAUAUUCCAGUUUAUCCUGUGGAAUAGGAAGGAAUGGCCCCAGAUGUAAUUAUAAGUGAGUGGUGCACAGAAAGAGUGGAAAAGCCUCAGGAAAUCUGAAUGUCUAAGAACUUUUCGCCAGCAAUUAAUCAGUUCUCCUGGGUGUACACACCUGGGGGAAAUUGAGAAGGACAACUAGCCAUGGAUGCCUGAUUCCACAAUGCAUCCAAAUGCAGAAAGAUACUGAAACCUGCAAGUCCAAGUCAUUAAGGGCCUGAUCCUGAGAUGUACAGACCCUACAGACUUCAACCACUAAGAAAUGAACAAGGAGGGAGGAAAGCAUUUGAAUUAACUGCAUGAAGAGCCAGGUUAAAAUGUAACCUUGUAAAGCCUUUGGAAACUGGACAUGGAUGUUCCAAUUUAGUUGGGUAGAAUGCAUUUAUAUACAAACAAUGAUUAGAAACCCCAUAUGUAUAAGCCUGCUUGUAAGUAGUUUAUUAUUCUAUUGUUUUCCCAUAGAAGAAUAUGGUUAUUCAGGCAUCAUUGUGAAUGGUCUCUUAUUUGUAUUUCCUGUCGAGCCCACUGCCCAGCCCUUCAAUUCUCAGCUUCUCAAAGUCAAUAAAGAAUUAGGGACGCAUUACAAAGCUGCUUUCCCUUGACAGUUAUCCCACCUAGACACUGUGGCUGAGGUUUGGGUUCUUGCUGGCUAACAUUGGAUUGUGGCAGUGGCCGGAAGUAAGACUAGAGACAUCUUUUCUCCUUCCCUCUAGCUCAAUGCUCCCUACUUAAGAGGGCUGGUGUCAAAAGAUAGGAGAUGGUUCUGUUGUGUUAGAACAAGCAAAUGGACAGCAGGCCCCUAACCCCAGUGUGUCUAUCAUGAUGCUUUCCCUGCCAUUUCCCCAGGUAGCCCCAUAGGGUGGGCCACAAUUGCAUAACGCGUACAAGAGAAAUAACACAAAAUGGCUCAUGAUGCGCCUCACACUGUGAGCAAACGGGUAUUAAAUCCUCUCCGAACACAGGGGGACCGUCACAUUUCAAAAGGGGCAUUAUUUAAAAAGUGAUAAACCUCAGUGCAGUUUGUUGUUGUUGUUCAAACCCCCCCGUUCUUUAGAAAAUGUGUUUGCUCAGCCUCACUUUUGACCUAUGGAGAAAACCCACUAGCCAGCAUGACUGAUGCAGAGAACCAGUGCUUAACACUUAAACAGUGAAUUCUGCACUGACUGGCCCAUCUCCGAAGCCGAGCUGAAUGAUAUGGAUACACUUUCAAAUUCUGCACUGGCUGCCAAUCGAAAACUGGGUCCCUUUUUUUAAUAAAAACCCUCAUUUUCCAAGCCAUGAGUGGACAACAGAACAAUUAUUCCAGGGAUCAAUUCUAUUUCUGCUUCCCACCCUGCUAUGUUCCCAAGCACUUUCGUUUAUGGAGGCAGGGGUCAUCUAGUAAUUGUAAAAGAACCCAAUGGAAAAGGAAUCUGCCUCCGGCAGAAAGCAGAGCUCCAACUUCCUGGGCUAUUUUGAUGUAUCUUUAAUAUAGUAAGGUGCUCACAUACUAAGGUAAUGAGCCCUACAGAAAUGCUAAUAACUAUAAAACAAGGACCAGAUUUGCUGGUAUGCACCAGCUGUUUUACACCAUGCCUUUGGUGCAAAUCAGUUAUCAGUCUGGUUUAACCAGCCAGUUAAACCAGGUUCAGGGUGACUUUACAUCUCCAGAUCAGUACAAAGCAGCCAGAGCAUACUAGUGAAUUGUGCCCUAAAUACAUGUGAUAACAUAGGAAUCAUUGCACUACAUCAGACCCAAGGUGCAUCAGGCUCCAUGUCUCCAGAACACUAUGCAAACAAACUGAUCUGUACAACACCUGUGUGAGUAAUUAAAUACCCAUUUGACAGAUGGAGAAAUAGAAGUCGAGAGAUCAAGUGAUCUAGCCAAGGCCAUGCAGUGAGAAUCUGGCCGAGGUGACAUAAGAACUCCUCCUUGCCAGCUUUAUGUUGAGUUCAGUGGGCAAUGUUGCUUUCAGAGCCCCCAAGUACGAAGAAACAUGUUUCUUGCAUUAUCAAAUCAUGUGACAAACAUUAAAUAUUAAAACUGAA